GAUGAACGCUAGCGGGAGGCCUAAUACAUGCAAGUCGAGCGGUAGAGUGACUUCGGUUGCUUGAGAGCGGCGCACGGGUGAGUAACGCGUACAUGACCUACCUUUAAGACUGGGAUAGCCCUGGGAAACUGGGAUUAAUACCGGAUGUGAUAAUACGUAUAGAGAUGUAUUAUUAAAGUUGAGGCGCUUAGAGAUGGAUGGUGCGUCUGAUUAGCUAGUUGGUAGGGUAACGGCCUACCAAGGCUACGAUCAGUAGGGGCGUGAGAGCGUGGCCCCCACACGGGUACUGAGACACGGACCCGACUCCUACGGGAGGCAGCAGUAAGGAAUAUUGGUCAAUGGACGGAAGUCUGAACCAGCCAUCCCGCGUGCAGGAUGACUGCCCUAUGGGUUGUAAACUGCUUUUAGCAGAGACGAAAACGCCUUCAUUUAUGAGGGUCUGACGGUAUCUGCAGAAUAAGCACCGGCUAACUCCGUG
Molecule: ribosomal RNA, 478 nt
Filed under: uncultured bacterium
Lineage: Bacteria
Description: bacterial SSU rRNA
Rfam family: Bacterial small subunit ribosomal RNA
Source: RNAcentral